CCUUCGAUAGCUCAGUUGGUAGAGCGGUGGACUGUAGUGUGAGUAGAGGUAAAGAGACAUCCAUAGGUCGCUGGUUCGAAUCCGGCUCGAAGGA
RNAcentral lists this transfer RNA (94 nucleotides) under Acromyrmex echinatior (Panamanian leafcutter ant). It matches the Rfam family "tRNA". From Rfam's summary of the family: Transfer RNA (tRNA) molecules are approximately 80 nucleotides in length. The record is from Rfam by way of RNAcentral. RNAcentral also lists the same sequence under 2 other names. Lineage: Eukaryota; Metazoa; Arthropoda; Insecta; Hymenoptera; Formicidae.